GCAGUCACAACACGUAUUUUCUGUCUCUCUCUGCAGCGUCCCUGAUCUUCAUCAUCUGGACUACAAAGACCUUCCAUCUUGCCACCUGCCAAUCUGACUGGCGGGAACUCUGGAUCGACGACGCUUUCUGGCGGUUCCUCUUUUCCAUCAUCCUGCUGGUGAUCAUGUUCCUCUGGAGACCCUCUGCCAAUAAUCAAAGAUACGCCUUCAUGCCUCUGGUGGACGAGGGCAGCGAGCAGGAGGAAGAGGAAGAGGAGCAGGUGGUCAACGAAGUCUUCGGUAAGCCUCGGCUGGCGGUCUCCU
Molecule: non-coding RNA, 303 nt
Organism: Pseudonaja textilis
Lineage: Eukaryota; Metazoa; Chordata; Lepidosauria; Squamata; Elapidae
Source: RefSeq, a predicted model, not a curated record